GUGCCUUGUAGGGUCCUGAAAACUAAAGAUGAAGAUAAAUAUCCAUGAAAAGAGAGUUUGGUAGGAGAGACAGCACCAAGCCCUACUACAACAGCUGUGGAACACAUCUGGACCAUGUCAACAUCUCUUCCUUGUCUCUUGUAGCUGUGCCUAGCUGAACCCACCCAGGAGAUCAUCCGGCUGCCCAUCCUCCUGACCUCUGCAGAAGAGAAGGGCCUGACCUCCCAGUCCUUGCCAAGCACUGGCAAUCUCAGGCUGCUGUGACAACAGAGAGAUGUAAAGCCAAGUGGAUAGCUAGACUUGCGGCUGCCUCUGGCCCUGAGUUAAAGCUUUUUCAAAAAAUGGCAAUAACGUGACAAUGAUACUAACAACAACAGUAAUAAAU
Molecule: long non-coding RNA, 385 nt
Filed under: Equus asinus (donkey)
Lineage: Eukaryota; Metazoa; Chordata; Mammalia; Perissodactyla; Equidae
Description: lncRNA (ENSEASG00005024652.1)
Source: RNAcentral